Molecule: long non-coding RNA, 164 nt
Organism: Nanorana parkeri
Lineage: Eukaryota; Metazoa; Chordata; Amphibia; Anura; Dicroglossidae
Exons: 2
Source: RefSeq, a predicted model, not a curated record
GAAGAAGCAGGAGGGGACUCGGAGGGAGAGGCGAAGAUCUGCCAGACUGAGACCAGACGCAACCGACAUCGCCAUGAAGACGCUGAUCGUCCUGGCGCUGCUGGGGAUGGCGGCGUUCGUCCUGACCCAACAAGGUCCCGCUCUUCACAAAUCAAGAAAGAUGA